RNAcentral lists this long non-coding RNA (2582 nucleotides) under Capsicum annuum. RNAcentral describes it as "long non-coding RNA (CANN_LNC019480)". The record is from RNAcentral. Lineage: Eukaryota; Viridiplantae; Streptophyta; Magnoliopsida; Solanales; Solanaceae.
UUUCUUGAUCCUCAAAAUUCUUUAGUUCCUCUGUUAACUGGUAUGGGGCCAUUGUUUCUUCUUCAUACUCUUCUCAUUCAUCAUUUUUGCUUUAAUGUGUUCAUUUAGCUCUUGACAUGUCAUGACAUUGGCAGGUUUUAAAUUAUUAUUACUCAAAACAUAAACAACACAAGUUAGAUUAUAGUGAUCGAAUAAUGCAACAAAAAAUAGAAGACAAAUAUUUUCACAAUACGAGAGGCUUUCAUUGAAUUUUUAAAAAUUACAAAUGUUGGCUAUGAUCCGCACUAGUGUAGGUCUGAGUUUUUUGGAAAGCAUAAAACAUGAAAAUAAGGUAAAUAAACUUAAAGGGUGGGUCUCGGGACUCAUUCGAACUACCAUCUAUUUUGCAAACAUAAAAUUUCAUCCUUUCAUCUGCCAUAUCAAUCGAGGAGUCAUGUUUAGAGUGGAAGUCCAAUUUGAUAGCUUAUCCCCUAGUUCAUCUGUCUUAUUCUCGGUCCUUUUGGGAAAAUCUUCUAUAAUAGCAUCACGCUCUUAGAACAAGUUCCCUAUUCCAUACUCGAGACCAUCGCUUAUAGGCUUUACAUAUAUAGGGAAUGACUGGUACAACAGAGGUAACAUCUUCACCAAUUCUGGACCUUUCUUCUUCGUAUCCCUUUCAGAUCUUUAUUUGGCAUAUAACCUAACCCAUAUUUGGACAACUUUUCUAGAAUCACAAUAGGCUCAAUGAUUCCAUCCAAAUUCUUCCGUAAGUCGCAUCCAGGAUCGAACUGCUUCUCAGCAUAACAUUGCCAACAUCUUAUAGAUCAAAGGCAUUGGCUUAUACGGAGUUGGGUCUUUCUCAUCCGUAUUCAUGAUCACCACCGUAUAAAAAUUACUUUCUCUUGGGACUUUUUAAUCACAGAAACAUAACCAUUAGGGUGACUCAAAUGACUCCCUUUUUCAUGGAUGACCACUUUAUUAUUUUCCUAUACAAAUUUCACUAAUUGGUGUAACGUUGAAGAAACAACCCCCGCUGCAUGAAUCCAAAGCCUUCCUAAGAGAAGAUUGUAACUUAAGGCAAUGUCCAGCACUUGAAAUGCUACUAGGAAUUUUACAGGCCUUAUUUGAAGAUGCAACUUAAUUUCCAUGAUGGUGUUUCUCUGACCCCAUCAAAAGCUCUUAUAUUUACUGAGUUCUAAUAAAUUUUUCCUAUAUCAUGGUUCAACAGAGUCAAAAUAGAUAAUGGGCAGAUAUUCAGACCUGAUCCAUUAUCAAUUAAUAUCCUAUUGAUGAUCUUGUCUUGACAUUUGAUAAUGAUAUGCAGUGUCUUAUUAUUCAUUACUCCUUCGAAGGGAAACUCAUCUCUACCAAAGCUAAUGCGAUGGUCUUCCACUACUUUACUUAUCAUGGCCACUAAAUUUUUGAUACUUGUGCCUACGGGUGCGUAUGCUUCUUCAAGGACUUUCAACAAAACUUUUCUAUGAUAUUGAGAACUCAUAAGCAAUACCUAAAUAGAAAUUUGAGUGGGAGUCUUCUCUAAAUAUUUAAUAAUAGAGUACUCUUUCGGUUGUAUUCUUCUAAAAAAUUCUUCAGUUUCUCCUCCAGUGAAUGGAUUUUUUUAGCACUCUUCUUGUAUUCAUCAUUAGCAAUUUCUUUUGGAGUAUAGCAUCUUCAUGAUCUAGUCAUUCCUUUUGCAGUUCCAGCUUUCACUAUAAAUUGUUCUCUUACAAGCAUCAAGGCAAAGGCUUGAUAAGGUGCAAACUUCUUAGUAACACUCAAGGCAGCCACUGCCUUUUGUGUUACUUUUACUUUUUCCAUUUCUUCAGGGAUAGCCUACACUAUAGAUUUUCUCACCACCAACUCAUCAUCUAUUUCUAUCAUACUGAUGGUUGCCCCUUCAUGGUUUGGGAGCGGGUUGGUAGUAAUAUUUGGUGGUGUUGUUUGAAGCGAAAUCACAUGUGAUCAAUCAAAUUUCAAAUCUUGAGCUUCAUAUUAAUACAGUCCUCAGUUGUGUAUCCAGUACCCCCUGAAUGAUAUGCAUAAUGUUGAUCGACGUGGAGAAAUUAGGAAUUGGUAUUGGCGGGUUUUGGUGGGAUAGGUUGGAUAAGAUCUACUGCCUUUAACCUUUUGAAUAAUUGAGUUCUAGUUUCAGCCAAAGCACUGAAACUCCUAGUGACUUUCUAUUCCUGAUGCAGACGAGGAAGAUUAUAGUCAUUUUGGUUGGUGGGAGGAGGGACUUGAUGGUAAUUUUGUUUAAUUAGGGAUUUUUGGUAGGCUUGAAAAUUUGAGAGUGGAGCUUGGUAAGGGGGCUGAUGAUUUGGCAAUGAGGAUGGAUAAUUCUGUUAAUUGGAAAAGAAUUUUGGUUGUGGAACUUAGGGACUAGGCUGGGUAUAAAACAUGGGUUGAGGAUUUUGUAGAGUUAGAGGGUAUACAGACGGUAAGGAUAAUUUCCCAAAAUCAAACCCAAGAGAUUUCCUUGACUUUUGGUUUGGACUAGAGGAUACGAAGAACACAUUAUUUCUCUUUUUCUUUGGGAAUUCUUAAGAUCCAAGGUGUUCAAAGGCUUUGUUGAUCUUCCCUGUCCUUAUUCCUUCCUCCUCUAU